This 459-nucleotide ribosomal RNA is filed under the name uncultured bacterium. Its description in RNAcentral is "bacterial SSU rRNA". It matches the Rfam family "Bacterial small subunit ribosomal RNA", at positions 340 to 789 of the family's 1533-position model. The record is from RNAcentral.
UACGGGAGGCAGCAGUGGGGAAUAUUGCACAAUGGGCGAAAGCCUGAUGCAGCUAUGCCGCGUGUAUGAAGAAGGCCUUAGGGUUGUAAAGUACUUUCAUCGGGGAGGAAAAACAAAACUAAUAAUUUUAUUUCUUGACGUUACCCGAAAAAGAAGCACCGGCUAACUCCGUGCCAGCAGCCGCGGUAAUACGGAGGGUGCUAGCGUUAAUCAGAAUUACUGGGCGUAAAGAGCACGUAGGCGGUUUUUUUAAGUCAGAUGUGAAAUCCCUGGGCUUAACCUAGGAACUGCAUUUUGAAACUGAAAUACUAGAGUAUCGUAGAGGGAGGUAGAAUUCUAGGUGUAGCGGUGAAAUGCGUAGAUAUCUGGAGGAAUACCUGUGGCGAAAGCGGCCUCCUAAACGAAUACUGACACUGAGGUGCGAAAGCGUGGGGAGCGAAACAGGGAUUAGAUACCCGU